GCUGCGUUGGCUGAGUGGCCGAAAGCACCUGCCUUGAAAACAGGACAUCCACCAGGAUGCGCAGGUCCGAAUCCUGCACGCAGCG
This is a transfer RNA of Firmicutes bacterium CAG:791, 85 nucleotides long. It matches the Rfam family "tRNA". Rfam says of the family: Transfer RNA (tRNA) molecules are approximately 80 nucleotides in length. Their secondary structure includes four short double-helical elements and three loops (D, anti-codon, and T loops). The record is from Rfam. NCBI's taxonomy places the organism in Bacteria, Bacillati, Bacillota.